UGGGGAAUUUUGGACAAUGGGCGAAAGCCUGAUCCAGCAAUACCGCGUGUGUGAAGAAGGCCUUCGGGUUGUAAAGCACUUUUGUCCGGAAAGAGAUCCUCUGGGUUAAUACCUCGGGGGGAUGACGGUACCGGAAGAAUAAGCACCGGCUAACUACGUGCCAGCAGCCGCGGUAAUACGUAGGGUGCAAGCGUUAAUCGGAAUUACUGGGCGUAAAGCGUGCGCAGGCGGUUUUGUAAGACGGAUGUGAAAUCCCCGGGCUUAACCUGGGAACUGCAUUCGUGACUGCAAGGCUAGAGUAUGGCAGAGGGGGGUAGAAUUCCACGUGUAGCAGUGAAAUGCGUAGAGAUGUGGAGGAAUACCGAUGGCGAAGGCAGCCCCCUGGGCCAAAUACUGACGCUCAUGCACGAAAGCGUGGGGAGCAAACAGGAUUAGAUACCCUGGUAGUCCACGCCCUAAACGAUGUCAACUAGUUGUUGGGGAUUCAUUUCCUUAGUAACGUAGCUAACGCGUGAAGUUGACCGCCUGGGGAGUACGGUCGCAAGAUUAAAACUCAAAUGAAUUGACGGGGUCAUAGCUGUUUCCU
RNAcentral lists this ribosomal RNA (586 nucleotides) under uncultured bacterium. RNAcentral describes it as "partial 16S ribosomal RNA". It matches the Rfam family "Bacterial small subunit ribosomal RNA", at positions 355 to 1375 of the family's 1533-position model. The record is from RNAcentral.